GAUGAACGCUGGCGGCGUGCCUAAUACAUGCAAGUCGAGCGAACGGACGAGAAGCUUGCUUCUCUGAUGUUAGCGGCGGACGGGUGAGUAACACGUGUAUAACCUACCUAUAAGACUGGGAUAACUUCGGGAAACCGGAGCUAAUACCGGAUAAUAUUUUGAACCGCAUGGUUCAAAAGUGAAAGACGGUCUUGCUGUCACGUAUAGAUGGAUCUGCGCUGCAUUAGCUGGUUGGUAAGGUAACGGCUUAUCAAGGCAACGAUGCAUAGCCUACCUGAGAGGGGGAUCGGCCACCAUGGAACUGAGACACGCUCCAGACUACUACGGGAGGCAGCAGUAGGGAAUCUUCCGCAAUGGGCGAAAGCCUGACGGAGCAACGCCGCGUGAGUGAUGAAGGUCUUCGGAUCGUAAAACUCUGUUAUUAGGGAAGAACAUAUGUGUAAGUAACUGUGCACAUCUUGACGGUACCUAAUCAGAAAGCCACGGCUAACUACGUG
RNAcentral lists this ribosomal RNA (497 nucleotides) under uncultured bacterium. Its description in RNAcentral is "partial 16S ribosomal RNA". It matches the Rfam family "Bacterial small subunit ribosomal RNA", at positions 28 to 507 of the family's 1533-position model. The record is from RNAcentral.